This 497-nucleotide ribosomal RNA is filed under the name uncultured bacterium. RNAcentral describes it as "partial 16S ribosomal RNA". It matches the Rfam family "Bacterial small subunit ribosomal RNA", at positions 28 to 507 of the family's 1533-position model. The record is from RNAcentral.
GACGAACGCUGGCGGCGUGCCUAAUACAUGCAAGUAGAACGCUGAAGCUUGGUGCUUGCACCGAGCGGAUGAGUUGCGAACGGGUGAGUAACGCGUAGGUAACCUGCCUGGUAGCGGGGGAUAACUAUUGGAAACGAUAGCUAAUACCGCAUAAGAGUAGUUGUUGCUUGACAUUUGUUUAAAAGGUGCAAUUGCAUCACUACCAGAUGGACCUGCGUUGUAUUAGCUAGUUGGUGAGGUAACGGCUCACCAAGGCAACGAUACAUAGCCGACCUGAGAGGGUGAUCGGCCACACUGGGACUGAGACACGGCCCAGACUCCUACGGGAGGCAGCAGUAGGGAAUCUUCGGCAAUGGACGGAAGUCUGACCGAGCAACGCCGCGUGAGUGAAGAAGGUUUUCGGAUCGUAAAGCUCUGUUGUAAGAGAAGAACGAGUGUGAGAGUGGAAAGUUCACACUGUGACGGUAGCUUACCAGAAAGGGACGGCUAACUACGUG